Molecule: ribosomal RNA, 480 nt
Filed under: Triticum aestivum (bread wheat)
Lineage: Eukaryota; Viridiplantae; Streptophyta; Magnoliopsida; Poales; Poaceae
Description: partial small subunit ribosomal RNA
Source: RNAcentral
AUGAGUCACCCUGAUGGCAUCAACAUCCCCAAUGGCAAGUUCUACCUAGGAGAUGCUGGUUAUGCAUGUCGCCCAGGUCUUCUUCCACCCUUCAGGAAAACCAGGUACCAUCUGAACGAGUUCGUUGGUAGGAACUAUCCUAGGACUCCAUAGGAGCUGUUCAAUAUCAAACACUCUAGCCUUAGAAUUACUAUUGAGAGGGCCUUUGGAGCUCUGAAGAAUAGGUUUAAGAUCCUAGAUCAGAAGUCAUUCCCCACUUUCCCCACUCAGGUUAAGCUUGUUCUUGCUUGUUGCAUUCUGCAUAACUGGAUCCUGCAAUGGGGUUGUGAUGAACUGGUGCCUGAGGAGGAAGAUGUGAUGCCUGACGAUGUUGUUAGCUCCGGCCAUGGUGUGGAGGAAUUUGACAACGAAACCUGAAAGAACAAAAGGAUGAAAUGGGCACAUGCAAUGUGGGAUAACAGAGGUCAGACAAGAAUCUGA